CAAACACCCACAAGCACUCCUUUCUCUCUCUUCGACCCACCUGCACAGCUGCACGAAACUCCACCUGAAACGAGCCACUCUGACACCUUUGAACUCGCUGCUGCAUUCUCCCUAUCCGGCGACACGCAGCUGUUCCUCUUUUCCCCUGUUUUGUUUUUGCCGCAAGAUUAAGGAAAAAGGGAUAUUACAAGCCUCCCCCGACUAUCAAAGUUACUAAGCAGGAUUUGAGGUAAUGACGGGGAUGACGGAAUGGCGUAGCAGUGAGGAAUAAUUACUACUUAAAUUAUGCAGACUCUUACUAUUAUGUAUUCUAAGCUUAAGAACAUAAAUUUGUGAACCUUAACUAU
This is a long non-coding RNA of Beta vulgaris subsp. vulgaris (sugar beet), 347 nucleotides long. RefSeq lists it as uncharacterized. The record is from RefSeq and is a predicted model, not a curated record. The transcript has 3 exons. NCBI's taxonomy places the organism in Eukaryota, Viridiplantae, Streptophyta, Magnoliopsida, Caryophyllales, Amaranthaceae.